GACGAACGCUGGCGGCGUGCUUAACACAUGCAAGUCGAACGGAAAGGCCUCUUUCGGGGGGUACUCGAGUGGCGAACGGGUGAGUAACACGUGAGUAACCUGCCCUUGACUUUGGGAUAACUUCAGGAAACUGGGGCUAAUACCGGAUAGGAGCUCCUGCUGCAUGGUGGGGGUUGGAAAGUUUCGGCGGUUGGGGAUGGACUCGCGGCUUAUCAGCUUGUUGGUGGGGUAGUGGCUUACCAAGGCUUUGACGGGUAGCCGGCCUGAGAGGGUGACCGGCCACAGUGGGACUGAGAUACGGCCCAGACUCCUACGGGAGGCAGCAGUGGGGAAUAUUGCACAAGGGGUGGAAGCCUGAUGCAGCAACGCCGUGUGCGGGAGGACGGCCUUCGGGUUGGAAACCGCUUUCGCUCAUGACGAAGCUUUGUGUGACGGUAGUGGGUAAAGAAGCACCGGCUAACUACGUG
Molecule: ribosomal RNA, 467 nt
Filed under: uncultured bacterium
Lineage: Bacteria
Description: partial 16S ribosomal RNA
Rfam family: Bacterial small subunit ribosomal RNA
Source: RNAcentral